AUUGAACGCUGGCGGCAUGCCUUACACAUGCAAGUCGAACGGCAGCACGGGUGCUUGCACCUGGUGGCGAGUGGCGAACGGGUGAGUAAUACAUCGGAACAUGUCCUGUAGUGGGGGAUAGCCCGGCGAAAGCCGGAUUAAUACCGCAUACGAUCUACGGAUGAAAGCGGGGGACCUUCGGGCCUCGCGCUAUAGGGUUGGCCGAUGGCUGAUUAGCUAGUUGGUGGGGUAAAGGCCUACCAAGGCGACGAUCAGUAGCUGGUCUGAGAGGACGACCAGCCACACUGGGACUGAGACACGGCCCAGACUCCUACGGGAGGCAGCAGUGGGGAAUUUUGGACAAUGGGCGAAAGCCUGAUCCAGCAAUGCCGCGUGUGUGAAGAAGGCCUUCGGGUUGUAAAGCACUUUUGUCCGGAAAGAAAUCCUUGGCCCUAAUACGGUCGGGGAAUGACGGUACCGGAAGAAUAAGCACCGGCUAACUACGUG
Molecule: ribosomal RNA, 486 nt
Filed under: uncultured bacterium
Lineage: Bacteria
Description: partial 16S ribosomal RNA
Rfam family: Bacterial small subunit ribosomal RNA
Source: RNAcentral